Molecule: ribosomal RNA, 193 nt
Filed under: Campylobacter jejuni
Lineage: Bacteria; Pseudomonadati; Campylobacterota; Epsilonproteobacteria; Campylobacterales; Campylobacteraceae
Description: partial 23S ribosomal RNA
Rfam family: Bacterial large subunit ribosomal RNA
Source: RNAcentral
CAAGAGCAUCGCAGCGUAGCUAAGUUUGGAAAGGAUAAACGCUGAAAGCAUCUAAGCGUGAAGCCAACUCUAAGAUGAAUCUUCUCUAAGCUCUCUAGAAGACUACUAGUUUGAUAGGCUGGGUGUGUAAUGGAUGAAAGUCCUUUAGCUGACCAGUACUAAUAGAGCGUUUGGCUUAUCUUUAAUAAAGCAU